GACGAACGCUGGCGGCGUGCCUAAUACAUGCAAGUAGAACGCUGAAGGAGGAGCUUGCUUCUCUGGAUGAGUUGCGAACGGGUGAGUAACGCGUAGGUAACCUGCCUGGUAGCGGGGGAUAACUAUUGGAAACGAUAGCUAAUACCGCAUAAUAGCAGUUGUUGCAUGACAACUGUUUGAAAGGUGCAAUUGCACCACUACCAGAUGGACCUGCGUUGUAUUAGCUAGUUGGUGGGGUAACGGCUCACUAAGGCGACGAUACAUAGCCGACCUGAGAGGGUGAUCGGCCACACUGGGACUGAGACACGGCCCAGACUCCUACGGGAGGCAGCAGUAGGGAAUCUUCGGCAAUGGACGGAAGUCUGACCGAGCAACGCCGCGUGAGUGAAGAAGGUUUUCGGAUCGUAAAGCUCUGUUGUAAGAGAAGAACGAGUGUGAGAGUGGAAAGUUCACACUGUGACGGUAUCUUACCAGAAAGGGACGGCUAACUACGUG
This 495-nucleotide ribosomal RNA is filed under the name uncultured bacterium. RNAcentral describes it as "partial 16S ribosomal RNA". It matches the Rfam family "Bacterial small subunit ribosomal RNA", at positions 28 to 507 of the family's 1533-position model. The record is from RNAcentral.